RNAcentral lists this ribosomal RNA (470 nucleotides) under Cosmolaelaps jaboticabalensis. RNAcentral's name for it is "SSU rRNA". It matches the Rfam family "Eukaryotic small subunit ribosomal RNA", at positions 557 to 1035 of the family's 1831-position model. The record is from RNAcentral. Lineage: Eukaryota; Metazoa; Arthropoda; Arachnida; Mesostigmata; Laelapidae.
AAGUCUGGUGCCAGCAGCCGCGGUAAUUCCAGCUCCAAUAGCGUAUAUUAAAAUUGUUGCGUCUAAAAAGCUCGUAGUUUGAAAACUUGCCUUGGCUUACAAUAGGUCCUUAUGGGCCACCGUUUGUUGAGCGCAAAUAUGGAUGACUGUUUUUGCCGACUUCAUUGUUGGGCUUAUAAGAGUUAUCAAAUAUCACUUUGAUUAAAUUAGAGUGCUUAAAGCAAGUGUGUUACUUGGAUAUAAAUGCAUGGAAUGAUGGAAUAUGUUGUUGUUCUAUUUGUUGGUUUUUGAACGAUGAAAUGAUUGAAAGGAACUGUUGGGGGCAUUCGUAUUGUUGUGAGAGAGGUGAAAUUCUUAGACCACAGCAAGACGAACUACUGCGAAAGCAUUUGCCAAGAAUGUUUUCAUUGAUCAAGAACGAAAGUUAGAGGUUCGAAGGCGAUCAGAUACCGCCCUAGUUCUAACCAUAA